Long non-coding RNA from Vicia villosa (hairy vetch), 3345 nucleotides. RefSeq lists it as uncharacterized. Lineage: Eukaryota; Viridiplantae; Streptophyta; Magnoliopsida; Fabales; Fabaceae. The transcript is spliced from 8 exons. The record is from RefSeq and is a predicted model, not a curated record.
AGGCGUGAAAUGAAAUGUAAAGUUUGGGGGUGAGUAUUGCAGAAGAUUUGCACUGCAUUGCUUUGCUUGUAGUUGGUUAAACACUGCUUCUUAUUAUAAUUUGUUGAGGCGGUGAUGAUGAUGAAGGAUGGUUAUGGCGAGGCGUUCAUGACGCAGCCACUACUUGUCUUUCUCUCUGAGCCUUUUUUGAUGCCAUUUUUGCAUUUCAACUUUUCGAGUGAGGUUUUGACGAGUUUUUCACUCUCAUUUCCAAUGAUCCAUACUCAAUGUGUGAGAGAUACACUCUCUACUACACACACCAUCACCACCACCACCACCAACAACAAUAACAACAUAACCUCUCUUUCUCUUUCUCUCUCUAUCUACUUCAUAAUCAUCAUCAAUAAUCAUGUUCAUAACCUUCUUUCUCUCUUCUUCUUUUCGGAGGCCGUGAUGAUGAUGCAUGGAUAAUCAGAUCGGACAUUGUUAGUGAAGAACAAAAGAGACCUCUCAUGGCGAGGCGACCGCAGUCGCAGCCAUGCUCUUCUUCACUCUCUUCUCUGAAAAUACAAAUCUAUUUCUAUCUGAGCCUCCUAUUUUUCUAUAACACCCCCACACUCUCGCUAUUUCAUUUCCUUAGUUAUUAUUUUAGUUUCUACUAGCAUUAACUUUUCUGCUAUGUUUCUGUAUUCGGAUUGAGAGACUGUGAUAGAUUAGGGUUUGAGUCUCUCUCAUGUUUCACUUCGUCUCUUUCUUUUCAGGUGCUACCAACCUAAACAUAACAUGCUGAAGAAAUAGGAUAUUGAUUCUGUUCAUAAAAUGUAAACAGGGUGAUACUAACCAAACCACAAGAUGCUAAACAAAUAGGAAUCAGGAUACCACUGGAUAUCAUCAUGGAUGAUUAUAUUCUUUCAAAAGAUCCACUUCAGAUUCAACUUUGGAGUUGCCAACUUACCUAAAUAGGUUUUUAUCAAUCUUCAAAAUGAGAAGAGCCUAAAGGUGGUGCAUUGAAAAACCAAGAUGCCAAUAUAUAAAGAUGGUAAACAAAUAGGAUAUUGUUUCUCUUCAAGAAAUGUAAAUGGGGUUCAGAAUAAAUAUUGUUCCGGCAACUAAGAAUGUUCAAGUUAUCCCUAGUUUAUCUUUUUUCACUUUUAGGCGUGUAAUACGCAAAAAGUGCUCUAUUCAGCACACUGCUGCAUACCAUAUUGGAUUAUGUUGUUCCUUCUUGACCUAAUUUUUUGCAAUACCUGUUUUCUUUUCCAUUACUUUUGGGUUUGAUCUUUCAGAAGAUCCAUGACAAAUUGAUUAUCAUCUUAAUACCCAUGGCAAGGAGAUAGGUCCUAAAUCAACUGAAAACUUUGUAAAAAUCUUUAAUACAAGGUGAUGAUGGGAAAAGGUUGUUUGUUGAACUGUUUCUUCUUGUUUGUUGGGUGUUGGUUUGAAUGAGGCAGUGAUGAUGGAUGGCUCUGGCGAGGCGUUUCUAUCAUGUUGAUUGUUGACGCAGUCAGCCAUCUCUCUUUCUGAGCCUCUCCAUUGGCAACUACUUGUUAACUUGUGAGGCUUUGCUGCUCUUGGUGAUCACUUUUUUGGUCUCUGAGAUGCUUUCAUUGCCAAUGAUUAUUCAUACUUCUGUCCCCUCUCUACACACAACAACCAAACACACAAACCCUUCAUGAUCUUCAAUCUUUCUUCUUCUCUUUUGGAAUAUAACAAGGCAGUGAUGAUAUUUCACGCAACUGAUUCAGACAUUGUGAGCGAAGAAAAAGACGUGUACUGGAAAGGCGACUCUGUGUCUGUGGGUCCUUCCUUAGGUGCCUGUAGUUGCAGCCAUGCUCGUCCUCCUCCUCUCCGCUCUCUUAUCUGAUGAACCACCUAAUCUGAGCCUUGUAUUCUUCAAAACCCCCUCUCUUCGGCUUUUCCCCUUAUUGUAGCUCAAUUUUUCUAUCUAGAAAAUAAGUAAAUUUGUUUUCAAUGUGCAGUCCAGUAUUCUCAAAUAGCGGCUAAAGUGGGGCUAUAUCACUACAACACAGCAGAAUUUGAGCCAACUGCUAUUGUUUGCAAACUGCAAUAUGUUGUCAAAUUGUACAACUAACAGAAUUUGAUUAAACUGCUAUUUUCCAUUAUCCCUGAUUGGCAAAAUGGUUUCAUUCAUCUCACCCCUAUGCAUUUAUUCUAACACCUAAUAUUGUUUCCUUUGCUUACUUGUUUUUUUCUUUUUGGUACUUGUCCCCCUUUUAUUGGAGUUUUCUGCCUUAGUCCUCCAAAAUUCUCCAUUUGGCACUUCCAUUCAUAUCUUUGCUUUUUAAUAAUUCUAAUAUUUUUGUCAUUUCUUGACAAUGUUUUUCCUGUUUUGUUUGAGUCAGGAGUGAGGCUGAGAUAGAUUAUGGCGAGAGUCUGUCUGGUUUCCGUGUGAACCAGUGAUGAAUAUGGACAGAGAAAAGGCUCUUGAAGAAUGAAUGUGUUACAAACAAAGUACAAGAUUUCAAUAUAUAACAAAGCUAAAAAAUAUGAAGUUGAUUGUGUUGAAGAAAAGGGCUCUAAAUUAAGACUACACACCAGACCAAGAGGCUCUAAAUUAUGACUACACACCAGACCAAGAGGCUCUAAAUUAAGACCAGGUCCUCCUUCUAAGGGAAUUUCAUUUCAGUAAUUAAAAAACAAAAAAUAUAUAAAAGAAAGGAGGGGGAAAUGAUUUAUUGAAGGUAAACAAAAAGGCCGAAGAAAUUGUUAUGACGAAAAGGGAAAAGAUUGUGAAUAGCCCAAAAUGUAGAGGUGUUGUUGAGGACAGGUAAUUAGGGUGAAAUGAAAUGUCGAUUUGAGGAAAGCUAGAUAGCCAAUUGCGAAAGAAGAGGCGGAAUAUAGAGAAAGAAAGGAAACAUGUGAAACGGGAAUGCUUUAGCAGACGGUGAUACAAUAAAAAACACAAGAUGCCAAUAUCUCAGGAUGCUAAACAAAUAGGAUAUUGAUUCUGUUCAAGAAAUGUAAAUGAGGUGUUAAUGAAGUAAAACACGAUAUCCCAAUGUGUAAAGAAGCUAAACAAAUAGGAAAUCGAUCUGUCGAAGCGAUAGGGUACAUUAUUCUCUUGUCUCAUUGACUACGCAUCAAAUCAAGUCCAUUAUUUAGAAGAAUCAUCAAGCCAAAUAACAAUAACUAAGUUCUAGUGUUUGCUCUUAAAUUCGAGAUUCUCUACAAUCAAGUCCAUUAUUUAGUGCAAGCUGUCUUGGGAGGUUGAUCAGAGUCAGAAACCUGGUCCCCAAAUUUCUUUUGUUGUAAAUUGUAAAUAAGUAGAAAUUGUUUGCCAGAAAUUGCUGUUUCUUUAUAUAUGUUGAGUAAUGAAUUUCAUUGUUACCUAGUUGAUCAGAAAAA